UGUUGUUAAUGUAAGUUGACGUCUGUCAAUAGAUCUAAUCAAUCUUGCUCUUUUAUGUGUAAGACUGAAAUUAUAAUAAAUUGUUUGUACUGAAAAUCAUAUCAGUUAUUAUUUUCAAACCACGUAAUUUUUCUUUAUGGUAGCAGAGCGUGGUUCUGUAGAAAUAACAGAAGACUGAAGGAAGUGAUUAUACAACUGUUAAAAUUAAGUUAAGUAAUUUGGAAGUUAUAAAACUUCAUCUUCAAAAUGGGUUCAAAUUUGUCUAAUUUGGAAAAACUAGUCGGAAGAGAAAAUUUUACCACUUGGAAAUUCACUAUGAAAAUAUAUUUACAGCAUGAGGAUUUGUGGUGUUGUAUCGAACUGUCUGAUAACAAACCAAUUGAAGCAAGUAAGGAUGUAAAGGCCAAAGCCAAGUUGAUUCUACUUCUGGACCCUCAAAAUUAUGUUCAUGUUCAAGAUUGUUCAACUGAAAAAGAGGUAUGGGAAUGUUUAUAACAAGCUUUUGAUGAUAAAGGGCUCACGCGAAGAGUUGGCUUACUAAAAGACUCUAUAAAUACUAAAUACUACAUUGGAAUCUAGUAAUAGUGUUGAAGAAUAUGUGAGCAAGAUCAUGAAUACUGCUCACAAGCUGUGUAACAUUGAUUUUGACGUAAACGAUGAAUGGCUUGGUACUUUGAUGCUGGCAGGCUUACCAGAUGAAUACAAGCCCAUGAUUAUGGGGCUUGAGAGCUCAGGCAUUAAAAUAAGUGCUGAUUCAGUUAAGUCUAAGUUAUACUCAGCAAGUUAAAAACAGAGGACCAAGAUGCUAUAAUUGCAAUAAAUAUGGUCAUUUUGCUAAACUAUUUAAACAACCAAAGAAGUUAGCGAAUAAAGGAGAAGGUUCAAGUUUUGUAGCUGCUUUCCCAGUAACUGUUAAACAAAAUGUGAGUGAUAAAUGGCUAAUAGACUCAGGAGCAUCUUUGCACAUGACUUGCAGAGAUGACUGGUUGUAUAAUGUCACUGAGCCAACUGUGAAAAGUGUUACUGUGGCAAACAGAGAGCCAUUAAAUGUAAAAGGAGUUGGAUGUAUGGACAUUUAAAUAAAUCAGAAAGAUAAAAUACAAGAUAAAAAUGUACUGUUUGUUCCUGGUUUAGCUGCCAAUCUCCUUUCAGUCAGCACAAUCGUGAAGAAUGGGCAUAAUGUUAUAUUUUAUGACAAGGGAUGUGUCAUUCAGAAUGCUAAAGGAGAGGUAAUCUGUAAGGCAGUAUUAAAAAAAUAACCUAUAUGUUAUGAACAUAAGUGGAGAAGAGGUUCAUCUGAUUUCAAGUGCUGUGAAUUCUAAUGACACUUGGCAUCUGCGAAUGGGACACUUGAAUUUUUCAGAUAUUAAGAAACUGCCAAAUUGUGUUGAAGGUGUGUCUUUGACUUCAGACACAGGUAAUGUGAUCACAUGUAUUUAUUGUUGCGAGGGAAAACAUGCUCAGUUGCCAUUUAAAAAUGUAGGUUCAAGAGCAGUAAGACCACUUGUACUAAUACAUUCUGAUUUAUGUGGCCCUAUGGAAAAUAUUUCAUAUGGAGAUAAAAUGAGUGUACCUGAUACGUUCAAAGAUUUCAAGUCAAAAGUAGAGAAUGAAUUGAAUUGUAAAAUUAAAAAGUUACGAACAGAUAAUGGUAAAGAGUACUGUAAUAACAAUUUUGAGAAAUUUUUAACUAAUCAUGGUAUAAUUCAUUAGACAUCUCCGUACACUCCAGAGCACAAUGGCUUGGCAGAACGAAUGAACAGAACACUAGUGGAGCAAGCAAGGUGUAUGUUGUUUUAUGCCAACCUGGAGAAGAAACUAUGGGCUGAAGCUUUGGCAACUGCUGCGUAUAUUGUAAAUAGAUCUCCUACAAAGGCUUUGGAAGGUAAAACAUCUUAUGAACUGUGGAAAGGUAAAAAACCCAAUUUAUCUCAUUUAAAGAUUUUUUUUCUGUUGCUAUGGUACAUGUACUAAAAAAAAACUUCAAAAAUGGGAUAAAAAAUCUGAGGAAAUGUUGAUGGUAGGUUAUUGUGAAAAUUCCAAAGGAUAUUGAUUAAUAAAUCCUUUAACACAUAAAAUAGUAAAAAGUAGAGACAUAACUUUUAUUGAGAAGUAUACUGAAGAUAAUAAUAUACUUAUACCUUCCAAUGUUGAAGUUGCAGACAUGGAUGUACUGGGAUGUCAUCUGAUAUUCAAAAUCAGGAAAUACACGUCAUCAAGUAAGGAAUUGAAUGAACCUAUAAGUAGAAGCGAAGACUCACUUAGAAAGUUUUCUAUGAAACAGAAAACUCAAUUAUUUUAGUAACAACCCUUUAGCUAAUUAUGUAUUGAGUAUCUAUCAAUCAAAAAAAAAAAAAAAAUGUGAAAAACGAUUAGAUUAAGUUUGUUUUAUUAAAAGAUCCCCAGUUUAAUGCGCUUGAAAUUUCAAAGAUCCAAAAGAAUGGCCGCAUAUUACCGAUAUAUAAAAGAAAAUAGUUUUCACUCCAUAAUCUGAGACCAAAUGACAAGAAAUAUUUUAGGUAGUAAAUAUAAAAUCAAAUAAAUAAGACAAAAAAUCACUCACCAGUUCACAAAUGAGGAAAUUACCAUCUUGGUAGUUAAGAAUUUUCCGGGUAUCCAUUUUCACCACACAAUAUUGUAUUGAAACACGGAAAAUUCUUUUAAUGUUUAUUUUCAAUCCGUUUCACGAAAAUUUUGAAUUAAAAACUAUUUUCUAUCAAUAUACUGAAAAUUUCCAAAGUUUCCAUUAAAAAUUUUCAACAUUAGUCACAUUUUUAAAACUAGAAAUCGAAAUAUUUUUUUGUCGUUAUUAAACAGAUCCGGUAUCUCUGUAUUUUAUUUAUCUAAUAAUAACUAUUUUGUACUACAAUCGAAAUAAGGUAUUUUAAUAUUAAUAUCUAUAUAUAUUUUUAUAUGAAAAAACACAUUACAGUUGAAAAGAUUUGGCGUGAACAAUAAUUGCGUCGACUUACAAAGAUGGCCGAUAAGCUGUCUAGACAGACAAGGAUAAACGAACUUUUUGAUGCUAUAUUUUAGAUUAUCGUUUGUUUAAUGUUUAUAAGUAAAUCAAUAAUUCACACAAUUUCAAAUUAUCUGAAGAAAAUGCUUAAUUUCAAUUACUUUGAAAAUAUUAAAAAAAAAAUAAUAAAACCUUAGUAUUCCAUAAAAUGUAAUACACUGAAAUCGUUCAUUUUCCUGGAAAUUUUAAUUGGACAAAUCUCGUUAAUUUUUACAUAAAGAGAAUUAUAUCUUACCUAUAUCAAUAAGAAAAUAGUUUUCACUUCACAAUCGAAAACAAAAUUACACGAUAUUUUACGAAUAGAAAAUUUAGCAUCAAAUAUGUCUGCCCGAAUUUGUAAUACUGUCAAAGUUUCAUUAUCUAAAUAAUUAAACGCAUUGUUUAAAGCUUGUGACUUCAACAUUCACAGUGCGCAAGUCAAAAACAAGUCUAGACAUUCGCAAAGAAUUCGAAAUGGGUCAAUGAACUGAGAAGAUGUAAAGUUUUGAUUUAUUAAAUAAUAAGUAAUUAAAUAUUACAUAUUUUGUUAUAUGAUUUCCAUAUUGAAUAAAAUAGUGUUUUCAAAGAUAAAAUAAAUAAAGCAAUAUGAAGCAAGAUAUAUUUUUAAUAAUAUUUCUAAGAAAGUUUUAAAUAAUUAGUGAUAAUAGAUAUAAUACAUACAAUAAAAAAUGGCAUAGAUUUAAUUAUUACAAUUCACAAUAACUUAAUAUUAUUAAAUGACUAUAUAAGGAGAGUUUAUGGUAGUAGUAAUUUCCUUUUGGGAAUAGGUAUACUUUUAAUGUUUUACGACAUAACUUCGUUUUUCGAAUUAGUACUUUCAUUAGUUAUUAUAGGUACAUGAAAAUUUUUAUAUUAAUUAAGGAUUGUAGAAAUUGAAACCAUGUUACUGAAAUUUAUUCCAAGUUCCAAAAAAUAGCUGCAUAUGUAUAAAGUACAAAACAAAAUAUUUUUGUUAUCUUGAUAUGGAGAAUUCUGUGAUUUUAAUAUUUUCAGUUCCUAUAGUGUAGGGUGUUCCUCAUCCCCAAAUAUAUUUCCUAUAAAUAUCAAAAAUAAAUUCGAAAUGUGAAGUAAAUAAGAAAUUCUUCCGACAAAGAUGAAGUCGUCUAAAAAGGGGCUGCACGGUCAAUUUUCGUUAUCGGUAUUAAACCCUCAACAUGUAUAGUUAUUUUGGUAUUAUUACGAGUAUGUAUCUAGAAUAAUGUGAUUUUAAAAUUUCCCAUAUUUGGAGUGGUCCUCCUAUCCAAAUUAGACAAACAUUCACAAAGGAUUUUGCCGAACGUUAUUUCAUAUAUAUAAAAAAAAAUAUAUUCCAAAUGUUAGGUAAACAAGAAAUUCUUCGAACAAAGACAAAGGCAUCCAAGAAGGGUCUGAACGGUCAUUUUUUGUUAUCGGUAUUAAACCUUCGAUAUAAUGUAAACAAACUAUUCCACAAACUGAUAAAAAGUGUUCUAGAACUGCACCACACGUUUUGUUUUUCAAAUAUAUUAUACCUCUUGUAAAUUCUCGAUAACCAAUGUAGAAAAAUAAAUAGUCUACUUUCAACAACAAAAAAGGGUCUAAUAAUGGUUCUUAAAAGAUUUCUAACAUAAACAUACCAGAAUUAAAAUAUUUGGAACCCAGAAAUUUUUUUUGGUACAGUUUAUUCAAAAGUAAUGUUUUGUAGUUAUCGAACUUGGUGGGCUUUUAUAUUCUUUUUCCGAUUACUAUCAAUUUGCAUACGAGAUUCUUUAUAUACUUGUUAGAAUUUGCAUUUUGGAGAAUAAAUAUUGUGAUGUCGAGUAAAUAACACUCAACUUUGUUGAAAAUUCGUAAGAAAAUUAAAUUAUUAUUUUAGAAAAAUGCUUUAGUUAUUCUAUUAGAUUCUAAACAAAUGAAGGGGUGAUGACAAAAAGUUUAUUAAAUGAAGAGAUAAUUUCUAACAGUAACUGUUUCAUUGAAAAGUCAUAUUUUCUCCGUGUAUUUAUCUUACAGAAUGAUUUGAGAUUAUUUCUAUAUUGUUUUCAGUAAAUAAAAAGUGUGUACAAAUAAUUGAUUCCGCACUAAUACAAAAUGAUGAUGGUUAUUAAAAAAAUGAUCUCUAUUUCCUCCAAAAUGAACACACCCCUACUUUGUAACAUAGUUGCAAUAAUAUAAUCAACAAUUUUCUCCAAAUUGGAUUUGAAUGAAAGAAGAAUAUGCUUUAUUAAACCACUCAAAAGAUCUCCAGUUUGUGAAUCCUCGAAACUUGAUUAAUUAACAUAUUGUUUUUACAAGUUUAAACAAACUUAGAGUUUAACAAGAAAACAAUUAUAAAUUAGAGAAGAAUUUUUGAGACAUAUAUUAUUUUGGAGAGACGGUAAAAAUAUCAGCAUUUCCUCAAAAUUUGAUAAUCAAGCUUGCCAAAUAUGAUAGUGAACUAUUUUCUUUUGGUCAGCUCUGUACAAAAUGUAAAACGGUCCGAACCCAUAAUAUUUAUUACUUUAUUAUUUUGUUAUCUGUACAUUUUGAAUGGGUCUUAUUGGAAAAAUCCAUAUCUUUACUACCUACUACUACAGAAAUAAAACAUCUUGUUCACAGAUGUGAGAAUAUUUUUUCGAAAGGGCGUAAUGGCAUAAUUUUUAUAAAUUAUUAAUAUGAAAUAUAAACUAAUUUAUUUACAAAUUUUAACAAAAAUGAAUUUUGAUAUUGCCAUGUCUUGAUACUUGGACAACUUGUUUUAUAAUUUUGAAUAUACUCAAAAGAAAAAGAUAUUUCGAUUAAAUAUAGAUGAAACCUAAAUUCACCACUCUUCGAAUACAAAGUGUUCUUGUGUGAACAACAAUUAGAAGUUGAAUGCUGCGAUAUACAAGAAUUUUUGUUUCGAGAUUACUUCUAGUACAAAUAACAUCCAUUAUUUUCAACCAUUCCAAAAUUUCUCGUCGCCCUGUAAAUCUAAAUAACCGACAUAUUUUCUAAUUUAUUUUAAUAUCGUAUAACCAUUGUUACACUAUCAUUUUCUAACCUAUAUUUAUUUUCCACAAAUAAUUAUAUAUAAGUCAUAUUUCUAAACUGUUACUCCAUGUAUAAAUUAUUAUUAUUAUUAUAUGUAAAAAAAUCAAUCAAUAAAAUCGUAGCUUUCGAUAAAAU
Diorhabda carinulata is the source of this 6124-nucleotide long non-coding RNA. RefSeq lists it as uncharacterized. Lineage: Eukaryota; Metazoa; Arthropoda; Insecta; Coleoptera; Chrysomelidae. The record is from RefSeq and is a predicted model, not a curated record. The transcript is spliced from 2 exons.